RNAcentral lists this long non-coding RNA (1385 nucleotides) under Monodelphis domestica (gray short-tailed opossum). RNAcentral's name for it is "lncRNA (ENSMODG00000043142.1)". The record is from RNAcentral. Lineage: Eukaryota; Metazoa; Chordata; Mammalia; Didelphimorphia; Didelphidae.
UUUGAUAUGCAUUUAUAAUUUAAUACUUGAAAUAGCUUCCUUAAUGUUUGUUUCAUCUCAGAGCUUGAUUAACAUAGGAUUCUUGCAUCAAGAUGAAUGUUAAAGACAAAAAGGAGAUUUUUUCAGAUAUGCAUGAAGAUUUCACUUCUGAGUAAUGUGGCAUAGUUGAUGGAAUAAGUUCAAGAACACUCAAUCCCCAUAGGUUGAUUCUCUGCCACUCGGAUGAGGAAAGAGCCACCACUCACUUCUCUCCAUGCAGCUGCCAAGAGCCAAUGGUCGAGUAGAAGCAGGGACGCUUGAAAUCACCAUGAGAAUCCUCUCCAAUCUUAAAAUAAUACUACGAAAUGAAUACAGGAGUGAAAGAACCAACAAGACGACAGAGUGAAGCAAGUUUCAAGAAGAGAAUAACCUGAAAGUUAGGCAGAGACUAUCUGGGGCACUAGGGUAAGAGGUGAGUUCAGCCAGAAGGAAUCUACAACAAAGAGUCUAGUGUUGGGCCCAAGUCAAACAUCAAGACCCUGAGACCAUGCCUGGACCAAUAGUCCUCCAACCCAAAGCACACCCUUUAAAGUUCCAAGAAAUACCAAAAGUCUGAAAUUCCAGCCCAGGGCAAUCUGUUCUGUGUAGACUGAUUCAUGUAGGCCCAGAGCUAGACCAUGAAACCCAACUUGGGCUUGUGGUGAGGACAUAGAUCCCAGUUUGGUGUAGUACUUAGAACUGCAGCUAGACCCUUUGAAAACUGACAGGGACAGUCCCCAGGGUGCUAUCUUGGUAGUGGCUAACCCUUCCCAAAAGCUCAGAAUAGUAUGUUGUGUGCCUGACCUGAUCAAACCCAGAGUAAGACCAAAAGCUUAUGCCCAAACCCAAGGCUAGAAUUUGAUGAUUAUCUGUGAAAACUUGGCUAUUCUCACCAAUGCACUGAUCUAGGACAAUCCAGAAAGACUUAUGACAGGGAAUACCAUCCACCUCCAGAGAAAGAACUGUUUGAGUCAUCUUUCACAUCAGUAUAUCUUUUAUCUUAUUUGGGGUUCUGGUCAUAUAUGAGUGUGCUCUUACAAUAAUGACCAAUAUAGAAGAGUUGAUAAAUUGUUUUAAAAAAAGUCCCUAGACAUUGGUAUUUAAUAUUUCUUGGUAAUAUCUCUCAUUUUUGUCCAUUUAAAAUUUUAUUCUAAAAAAAUUUCCCAUGUAUUAUUUUAUUCUUCCAAACACAAAAUUUGUGAACUAAAUAGGACAGAUUUUAUUUCUCUAAUCUCAUAUUCAGUGGUUUUCUUAAUUUCAAAUUAGUGGUAGAGAUGAGAUUAGGAACUACAUCUUCUUGACAACCAGUGCAAUGCUUUUUUCCUGAGGUCAGGAUGAAAUUUUCUAUUAUUAUUUGGGAAGUUUUU